Cucumis melo (muskmelon) is the source of this 2867-nucleotide long non-coding RNA. RefSeq lists it as uncharacterized. Lineage: Eukaryota; Viridiplantae; Streptophyta; Magnoliopsida; Cucurbitales; Cucurbitaceae. The record is from RefSeq and is a predicted model, not a curated record. The transcript has 3 exons.
AGAAAGAAAAGUAAGGACAAAAAGAAGAAAAGGAGAAGAAAAUUUCAUUUUCUCUUUUCUUCUUCUUCUUCUCUUCCCUUCACCGCCAAGUUUGAAGACAUCCAAGUUCCCUUUAUUUUUUUUUUCUUUUUCCUUCUUCAAUUUGCAGAGAACUUCUAAGAGAGAGUUUGGAAGAAGAAGAGAAAUUUUACUAGAAUUUUUAGGUUGAAGAAGAGGAGGAGAACUCAAGCAAAGUGUAUCAAUGGCUGAAUUUUAGUUCAUUCUGCACAUCACUGGUUUUUAAUUCGGUUUGAACUCUUCAAAAGGAAUUAAGAGAAAACAGGGCAGUUGGUUUUCACUCGAAAUCAGGAGGUCUCUGGUUUUUCUUGUAUUUCAGAGUGUAUCGGUGGAGUUAGAAUUUCUAUUUGGAACAAGUUAAAGAGGUCGUGUGCGCGCGAUUCUGGAAGUGGUUCUGUUUUGAGGAUUAUAUGUGUUUAUGCACGGGGAAUCAGAUUUAUAUGUCUUCAGGUAAGUUUUAGAGGAUCUCAAAAUGAAGAGUUUGAUAUAAAGAACACUCAUUUUGGUUAAGUAUUGAGAAAGUUAUAGUUCUUUGAAGUUUAUGUUAGAAAUCUGGAAAUUUUAGAGAAUUGUUGAAAUAGGAUUUUAUUUCUUAAGCUUUGUUUUCGUGAGCGUCAUCUUUGGUGCGACAUGUUAUGUAUAUCUUUAGGAAACCAGAAUGUUUAAGGUUUUAAUACUCGGUUGGGUUGUUGGCAGGCCGAGAAGAAUUAAACCGAGCUUAUAGACCAAGGAUCUAGCCCAAGACUGUGAGUGACAAAACCAACUUUGAAAUAUUUUCCAUAACUGUUAUUAUGAUUGAAUGCGAUAAAUGUUUAUUUACGAAGCCAUGAAAGGUAUUUGAAUUUCAUGACUAUUUUCAAGUAUACAUUUGGAGACUAGAUUUCUUAAAGAAAUUUAUGCUAGCACGUAGAUAUUAAAUGUUUGGAAAGUAUUUAAACCACAAUAUUUUAAGCAAAGCAUGAAUUAGUAUGAAGUUUUGUUUUAAGAACUACAAUUUUCCACGAAAGAGCUGAGUAAAGUUCGAGCUUUGUGUAAAAUUUAUAAGCAGACAUGUUUUAAUAUUUUAUGAUGAUUUAUGAAAUUUUCAUUAACUACAUGAUGAGAUCUUGAGCCUGAGGCUAGAGAUUACCGUGUGCACACUGGUUAGAUUUCGUUGUUGACGUUGAGUGUACUCCAUAACAAUGAUGCUGUCGUGAGUGCUGGGCGGGCCCCACUACGACAAAGACGAUGGGAGUGCUGGGCGGGCCCCACUACAUCGUAGUGCUUGUAAACGUUGUUGUACUAGGUGUACCCUACACAACGUAGAUUCGUCAUGUUAGUUAAAAUGCUUCGAUAUACUUGAUAUGCCUUGCUAGAUUUCAAUGAUGAACAUGCUGAGUAUUUAAGGAAGCUAUUCUUACUAUUACACAUUUACAUUUACGACUUGUAUAAACAGAUUUAUAUGUGUAAAGUUUUCACGUGCUCUUAUCUUUAAAUUCAUAGUUUUAAACUGAGUCACUCACUGAGCUCCAUAGCUCACCCUUUCCAAAAUGUUUUACCCAUUUUCCAGGUAGAGAUCGACUUCCCGGUGCCUGAUAGACUGCCUUAGUCUGCUGAAGCUUCAUUAUCGAUUGCCAGUAUGUGUUUUGAGUUGGGCAUAAAGUCUGUUGUGUUGUGAUGUAUUCACACCCUUGUAUGUUAUAGAUACUCCACAGUUUGUAUAAGCUUUAGGAGCUGUAGUUGUGUAAAUUUUGUUGGUUAUAUUUUGAUUAAGGUGUCUUUAGGUUUACUCGUGAAAUUGGUAAAUUUUGAGGUACACUUCAUGUAUGUGUUUGAUUAGCUGUGUUUGACUAGCCUAGGAUCCGAUGUGUUUUGUGGCAUGUACAAUAGUUUAUAUACUAGAUUGGCAAGUUCAUCACAUGAAAGUUUUAAGCAGAGUCGACAGAUAUAGGUACAGAAUAACGUUGUUCGUCGGCUUCACGCCAUCUUUCGGUCUAAGGUAGCAGGUAGUUCGGGAGGGGGUGUGACACGCGUUGCAUUGAAGAUGAUGAUCGUCUACGUCGCAUUGAAGUGAUGAUCAUCUGUGUCGCAUUAAAGAUGAUGAUUGCUUACGUCGCAUAAAGAUGAAGAUGUUGAUCGCCUCGGCUACAACAUAUGUGAGAAAAUGAAGAUGAUGCUCUUCUCGGUUGCAAUGUUUUAAGAUGACAAUCUUCUCUGUUGUAACAUAUUUGAGACGAUGACCUUCUCGGCUGCAACAUUUUUUAGACGACGAAAUUCUCGGCUACAACAUAUUUGAGACGACGAUCUUCUCAGCUACAACAUAUUUGAGACGACAAUAUUCUCGGCUGCAAUAUACUUGAGACGAUGAUCUUCUUGGCUGCAACAUAUUUGAGCCGACUAUCUUCUCAGUUGUAACAUAUUUGAGAUGAUCAUCCUCUUGAUGUAAUUUAUUGAAGAUGAAGAUCUUCUUACUGUAACAUAUUUGCGAUGACGAGCUUCUCGGCUGCAACACAUGUGUGAAGAUGAAGAUGAAGAUCCUCUCGGCUGCAACACAUGGAAAGAUCCUCGUCUGUAACAUAUCGAAGAGGAGUAGAGCUCGCUAGUCAACAUUUUAGAGAGAGGCAAAGCUGCACCUGCAACGAUGAACUUUAAAGCCUUUGAACUUGAACUUGAAGAAGCAACGAUGAAGUUUCUUGAGGAAGAUGAAGCUAGCUAUCUUAAGAAGGUAGACAAGUAAACAUCUCUGUUGUCACCAAAGAAGCCUAGCUACGGUUCACAAGAGUCUGGAGGCUACACACAAAGAUUUUAAGAACUUUAAGGGAAAGCUUUAA